UUAAGACACAAGUCUGCUGAUGCUCCUGGCUGAAUAAACCUCUUCCUUCUUUAAUCUGAUGUCUGAGGAGUUUUGUCUGCAGCUUGUCCUGCUACAUUUCUUGGUUCCCUGACCGGGAAGCGAGGUGAUUAAUGGACGGUCGACACAGCCCCUUAGGCAGCUUAUGCCUGCCCUGUAGAGCAUCCCUGUGGGGGACUCCGGCCAGCUUGAGCAAUGUAGAUCCUGAUGAGCGCUCCCAGGCAGGCAUUUGCCCCGGUACAACGCCUCAUCAGAGCGGUGCAUGGCAAGCCCACAUGAAGGACCAAUGCAGUGGCUGAACACUGGGAAGGAACUGGCACUUUAAGUCUGGACAUCUGAAACUUGCAUGCUGCAGCCCCUAAUGAAUGAAUGAACCCAGGUAUCACAACAAAAAAGAGAGACAAAAAAAAUCAUGUGCCUCCUGAUGAAAGAACACAACUGCCACCUCACCUUCUCAAAGAAGCCAAACCUGAAUCUGAUCAAGCCACUGGAUCCAGCUGCCAAUUUGCAGGAAAUAUAGGACACAGGAACAUGCACAAUGGAUUGGAUUGAAUGAUACAGGGAUGGACAGAUAUGUGAUAAAUCAAAUAGAGCAAAAUGGUAAUUGCAGAAUAUAAAUGUUGGAUAGAUGAGUGUCCACUAUAUAAUUCUAUUUUUUUUUUUUUUUUUUUUGAGACAGGGUAUCACUCUAUCACCCAGACUGGGGUGCAGUUGUGCUAUCACAGCUCACUGUAGCCUCAGCCUCCUGGGCUCAAGCGAUCCUCCCACCUCAGCCUCCUGAGUAGCUGGGACUACGGAUGCAUGCCACCAUGCACCAAUUUUUAAAAACUUUUUGGAGAGAUGGGGUCUUGCAAUAUUGCCCUGGCUGAUCUCCAACUCCUGGGCACAAACGAUCCUCCCACCUUAGCCUCCCAAAGUGCUGCGAUUAUAGGCGUGAGCCACUGCGCCUGGCCCACCCAAGUUUUCUGUUUGAAAAUGCUCAUAGUAAAAUGUUGACAAAAGACAUAUAAAAAGUCAAGUUUAAACUAUACUGUGGCUAGGCGUGGUGGCUCACACCUGUAUUCCCAGCACUUUGAGAGGCCAAGGUGGGCAGAUCAUCUGAGGUCAGGAGUUCAAGAGCAGCCUGGCCAACCUGGUAAAACUCCAUCUCUACUAAAAAUAUGAAAAUCAGCCAGGCACGGUGGUGUGCGCCUGUAAUCCCAGCUAUUUGGGAGUCUGAGGCAGGAGAAUCACUUGAACCCAGAAGGUGGAAGUUGCAUGAACCGAGAUCGCGCCACUGCACUCCAGCCUGGGCAACAGAGCAAGACUCCAUCUCAAAUAUAAAAAUAAAAUAUAGUGUCUAGGGAAGUAUAUUUAGGUGGUGAAACUACAAAAGAAACUCAAGGAAGUGAUUAGUAUAAAAGUUACAAUAGUGGUUACUUUGGGAGAAAGCAGCAUGUUGUAAAUGGGCAGGGACACAUGGAAUCCUUCUGAGGUACCUGGCCAAAUUCUAUUCUUGGCCCUGUUGUGGUUUACGAAGGUGUCCCCCUUGUAAUUAUUCAUUAAAUGCUAUUUCUGUUCUCUGUGGCUUUCUGUCUGUAUUUUACAACAAAAGGGUUGUUUUUUUAAAAGUCCGUAUCCUUUGACCCAGCAACCACUUUAGGAUAAUUAUUAAUUACUAAUUACCCUAAAGUAAUUAUCAGUAGAGAAUCGUUUAAGCCCAGGAGUUGGAGACCAGCCUGAACAACGUUGUAAGACCCCACCUCUACAAAGUCCGUAUCCUUUGACCCAGCAAAUAAUUAGUAAUUAUCCUAAAUAAUUAAGACUACAUAGAUGGCUGUACAACAAUAGCUGUCAUUUAUUGAGUGCCUACUAUGUAUUAAACACUGCUCUAGCACUUUACAAGUAUUAUCCUAUUUAUCCUUGUAACAACCCUGUGUAUUACAGUACACACGAUUCUUUUUUAGAGACGGAGUCUCACUCUGUUGCCAGGCUAGAAUGCAGUGGCGCAAUCUUGGCUCACUGCAACUUUGGAGGCCUCAGCCUCCCGAGUAGCUGGGACUACAGGCACGCACCACCACGCCCAGCUAAUUUUUAUAGUAUACGCUAUGAUUAUUUCCAUUUUACAGAUGAGACUAAAGAGGUGAAAGAACACUGAUUAUUUCCAUUUUACAGAUGAGACUAAAGAGGUGAAAGAAUGUUGACCACAUCAUUAUUAAUAAA
Molecule: long non-coding RNA, 2220 nt
Filed under: Homo sapiens (human)
Lineage: Eukaryota; Metazoa; Chordata; Mammalia; Primates; Hominidae
Description: HSALNT0408864
Source: RNAcentral